CCUUGUACACACCGCCCGUCACACCAUGGGAGUUGGGCAAACUUGAAGACGCCGAGUUAACCUUCGGGAGACAAGCGUCUAUGGUUUGACCGAUGACUGGGGUG
This 104-nucleotide ribosomal RNA is filed under the name uncultured bacterium. RNAcentral describes it as "partial 16S ribosomal RNA". It matches the Rfam family "Bacterial small subunit ribosomal RNA", at positions 1379 to 1482 of the family's 1533-position model. The record is from RNAcentral.